AUACGGAGGGUGCAAGCGUUAUUCGGAAUCACUGGGCGUAAAGGACGCGUAGGCGGGUUGGCAAGUCAGAUGUGAAAUCCUACAGCUUAACUGUAGAACUGCAUUUGAAACUGCUAACCUAGAGUAUGGGAGGGGGAGAUGGAAUUAGUGGUGUAGGGGUAAAAUCCGUAGAUAUCACUAGGAAUACCGAAAGCGAAGGCGAUUUCCUGGAACAUAACUGACGCUAAGGCGUGAAAGCGUGGGGAGCAAACAGGAUUAGAUACCCUAGUAGUCC
Molecule: ribosomal RNA, 274 nt
Filed under: uncultured bacterium
Lineage: Bacteria
Description: partial 16S ribosomal RNA
Rfam family: Bacterial small subunit ribosomal RNA
Source: RNAcentral